Molecule: ribosomal RNA, 432 nt
Filed under: uncultured bacterium
Lineage: Bacteria
Description: partial 16S ribosomal RNA
Rfam family: Bacterial small subunit ribosomal RNA
Source: RNAcentral
CCUACGGGAGGCAGCAGUAAGGAAUAUUGGUCAAUGGGCGGAAGCCUGAACCAGCCAUGCCGCGUGCAGGAAGACGGCCUAUGGGUUGUAAACUCCUUUUGCAGGGGACUAUGUACUCUGAGAAUAAGGAUCGGCUAACUCCGUGCCAGCAGCCGCGGUAAUACGGAGGAUCCAAGCGUUAUCGGGAUUUAUUGGGUUUAAAGGGUGCGUAGGUGGCCUGUUAAGUCAGUGGUGAAAGACGGUAGCUCAACUAUCGCAGUGCAUUUGAUACUGACGGGCUUGAGUCCACUAGAGGUAGGCGGAAUGUGACAAGUAGCGGUGAAAUGCAUAGAUAUGUCACAGAACACCAAUUGCGAAGGCAGCUUACUGUGGUGGAUUGACGCUGAGGCACGAAAGCGUGGGGAUCAAACAGGAUUAGAUACCCUUGUAGUC